UACGGAGGAUCCGAGCGUUAUCCGGAUUUAUUGGGUUUAAAGGGUGCGUAGGCGGGACCUUAAGUCAGCGGUAAAAUUGCGGUGCUCAACCCCGUACUGCCGUUGAAACUGCAUCCCUUGAGUGCGCGAGAAGUACGCGGAAUGCGCGGUGUAGCGGUGAAAUGCUUAGAUAUCGCGCAGAACCCCGAUUGCGAAGGCAGCGUACCGGCUCCACACUGACGCUGAGGCACGAAAGCGUGGGUAUCGAACAGG
Molecule: ribosomal RNA, 252 nt
Filed under: uncultured Bacteroidales bacterium
Lineage: Bacteria; Pseudomonadati; Bacteroidota; Bacteroidia; Bacteroidales
Description: partial 16S ribosomal RNA
Rfam family: Bacterial small subunit ribosomal RNA
Source: RNAcentral